UACGGAGGGUGCAAGCGUUGCUCGGAAUUAUUGGGCGUAAAGGGCAGGUAGGUGGUCUCGUUUGUCUGGGGUGAAAGCCUUGGGCUUAACUCAAGAAGUGCCCCAGAAACGGCGAGACUAGAGUACUGGAGAGGGUCGUGGAAUUCCCGGUGUAGCGGUGAAAUGCGUAGAGAUCGGGAGGAACACCAGCGGCGAAGGCGGCGUUCUGGACUGCAACUGACACUGAUGGACGAAAGCCAGGGGAGCAAACGGG
This 253-nucleotide ribosomal RNA is filed under the name uncultured bacterium. RNAcentral describes it as "partial 16S ribosomal RNA". It matches the Rfam family "Bacterial small subunit ribosomal RNA", at positions 524 to 776 of the family's 1533-position model. The record is from RNAcentral.